Molecule: ribosomal RNA, 418 nt
Filed under: uncultured bacterium
Lineage: Bacteria
Description: bacterial SSU rRNA
Rfam family: Bacterial small subunit ribosomal RNA
Source: RNAcentral
GCUUAACGCGAAGAACCUUACCAGGGCUUGACAUCCCGCUGACCGGUGUAGAGAUAUGCCUUUCCCCUUCGGGGGACAGCGGUGACAGGUGGUGCAUGGUUGUCGUCAGCUCGUGUCGUGAGAUGUUGGGUUCAGUCCCGCAACGAGCGCAACCCCUAUUUCUAGUUGCCAGCAUUUCGGAUGGGCACUCUAGAGAGACAGCCGGUGAAAGCCGGAGGAAGGUGGGGAUGACGUCAAAUCAUCAUGCCCCUUAUGUCCUGGGCCACACACGUGCUACAAUGGCUGGCACAAAGGGUAGCCAACCCGCGAGGGGAGCCAAUCCCAGAAAGCCAGUCUCAGUUCGGAUUGCAGGCUGCAACUCGCCUGCAUGAAGUCGGAAUCGCUAGUAAUCGCGGAUCAGCAUGCCGCGGUGAAUACG